CUCGUAGGCGGCCAACUAAGUCGGACGUGAAAUCCCUCGGCUUAACCGGGGAAUGGCGUCCGAUACUGGAUGGCUCGAGUGUGGGAGAGGGAUGCGGAAUUCCAGGUGUAGCGGUGAAAUGCGUAGAUAUCUGGAGGAACACCGGUGGCGAAGGCGGCAUCCUGGACCACGACUGACGCUGAGUGAGCGAAAGCCAGGGGAGCAAACG
This 208-nucleotide ribosomal RNA is filed under the name uncultured bacterium. Its description in RNAcentral is "partial 16S ribosomal RNA". It matches the Rfam family "Bacterial small subunit ribosomal RNA", at positions 568 to 774 of the family's 1533-position model. The record is from RNAcentral.